UAGAUUUCCCUGGUUGCCAACCACCAUUAAAUAACAACAAGAAGAAAAUAUUGAUCUGCUUCUCUUAGUUUUGCACGUUUAAGCCGCAAUUCUCAAAUAAAGCUGCAAAGCAGGAGAACAACAUGGCCAUCAACUAUUCUGUGCCACAGAUCCAGUUCGCUGCAGCACAGAGUGAUGAUGAGACCGUUAACAUGUGCAACUUAGAAGUAGUCAGAGGUAACUGGAUGUUCAAUCGGGUUAAAUGCAAGGUUGAUUGGAUUAUAUCUGAAGAUCAUAUGCUAUUCGUGAUAACUCUGCUAGACUCCAAAUUGCUCGUCCAUGCGGGAGUAUCUCAAAAUUAAAUGAAACCACUUAACACUUCUUCCCUAAAACGGACUGACAUGGGACACAUUAAAGUUGGAUCGGAACCAGCUAAUCAGUCUGAAGGUAAGUGUUUUUUUCACUUAUUCGAGAGAAGUCCGAAAUGCGUUCUUAUUACUGUUUGUUUUGACUUUUAAGCUACCAGGAUAUUUUCAUUCAAAGACAAAAUGUCAAUAUCUAUGAAUGUGGAGACUCAAAAGACUGGUUAGGUAAUAGUUGCCGAUGGAUUUAUGAGACUUGAUAGAAACUUGGACGUUUGCAACAGGUGAAUCGGUGAACUACCGAGGUUGCGCCCAAAUGCUUAAAGCUGUUAGCUGGUCAGUGUUUUCAGGUGUGCUUGUACUACCUGUACGGUGCGGAGUGCUGACUAAGUCAUGUUAAACCCAUUAAAGCGUCGAGCUCAAAUAUCUUUUCAUUUUUGUGCACUGUUCUCUUGUCGGCACACAUUUUCUGUUUAUUGAAGCCUUUUGUGAAUAAUUUUGAUCAUGUAAAAACUGGGAAUUGGUCCCUAUUGACAAUACUCUUAUUUUUUGCCAUUUAGGAAAGGUAAUUGGUCACUGAACUUUUUGCAACUAUGUGUAUUUCUAAAUUUUGUGGCUUCAGUGCACGCAAAUUUAUAUUGUUCAGUUUGCAUGUUAAAAGCCUGCCAAGCACCCCAAGGCUGAUUAUGCUUGAUGAUCCAUGGCCCAUGCUUUCUGGACAUUUACACAAGACGAACAACAAUGAAGACAAGCUCUCUUGCCAUCUUGCAAGACGCUGUCUCUGUCCAAUAGGUUUUUUGAGUGCAACAGUUUUGAUUUUUUUUCCUUCUUUUACCCGUUUGUUAAAAAUUAUUUCAGCUACUUACACUUUAAUUGUCACAUGUAUUGGCUCACCCUACAAAUCAAUGAACUCAGUCCACAAAGCAAGAUCAGGGUUCAGUGCAGGUCAGUCAAGUUCCUUCACACCACACACGCUCAUCCAUGUCGUGGACCCUGUUUUGUGCAUUGAUUUGGUGGUGUGAGCCAGUAUUUUGGACAAAGUGUAUAUAAAGGCAGAAGUGUGGGGCUUGAUAUUAUAUUCAUUACAAUUCAGUUUAUUUGUAUGGUGCCAACAAAAUGAAUGCCAAGGCACUUCACAUUGUAGGUUUAA
Haplochromis burtoni (Burton's mouthbrooder) is the source of this 1491-nucleotide long non-coding RNA. RefSeq lists it as uncharacterized. The transcript is spliced from 2 exons. Lineage: Eukaryota; Metazoa; Chordata; Actinopteri; Cichliformes; Cichlidae. The record is from RefSeq and is a predicted model, not a curated record.